AGCGCGUACCAUACGGAGCGGCAGACGGGAGAGUACACGUGGCGCAACGUGCCCUUCANUUCGGAACAACCCAGGGUAAACUUGGGCUAAUACCGGAUACGUCCGUAAGGAGAAAGAUUUAUCGCUGAAGGAUCGGCCCGCGUAUGAUUAGCUAGUUGGUGAGGUAACGGCUCACCAAGGCGACGAUCAGUAGCUGGUCUGAGAGGAUGAUCAGCCUCACUGGGACUGAGACACGGCCCAGACUCCUACGGGAGGCAGCAGUGGGGAAUAUUGGACAAUGGGCGCAAGCCUGAUCCAGCCAUGCCGCGUGGAUGAUGAAGGCCCUAGGGUUGUAAAGUCCUUUCGGCGGGGAAGAUAAUGACGGUACCCGCAGAAGAAGCCCCGGCUAACUUCGUGCCAGCAGCCGCGGUAAU
Molecule: ribosomal RNA, 413 nt
Filed under: uncultured bacterium
Lineage: Bacteria
Description: bacterial SSU rRNA
Rfam family: Bacterial small subunit ribosomal RNA
Source: RNAcentral